UUUCUUCUCCUAGCUAAGUUAAGGGUAGGUUGUGGAACAGCCGGUCGUUCCCACCGAGUGAAGAGAGCCCCCUACCCCCCGAGGACCAGACAAAGCCGCCGUUCCUUUUCGGUCAGUUCCCGCGGGGGACACCACCCCCCAACCACACCAGCCCCUGCUUGAUGCACGACACGAACGCUCGAGAAGGCUUGCCCCCCGCGAAUGCCCCCGCGCCGCCAUUGCGCUCAAAGGUUCGCUGAUUUCACCACCUUUUGCAAUUUCACAUUACUAUCGCAUUCGCUGCUUUUUAUCGAGCGAACCAAGCUCCAUUGUGAGAAGUUUUGACAAUCUUUCACACGUACUCAGACAGCCAUCUUCAUCAGUUCACAAGCGUUGCGCGGCCGGCGAGAACUGUCGUCCCCGCAACCAGUGCCCCGUGGGCCCGCCAAGCACAGUGUAAGAGACAAGGUGGAGGUUGGGCCGCGAGGGCCCCCCCUUCGGUAAUGCUUCUCCUCGAUAGUGUGGUUGCGGAAGGAUCAUUACCGAGUGCGGGCCCUCGCGGCCCAACCUCCCACCCUUGUCUCUAUACACCUGUUGCUUUGGCGGGCCCACCGGGGCCACCUGGUCGCCGGGGGACGCACGUCUCCGGGCCCGCGCCCGCCGAAGCGCUCUGUGAACCCUGAUGAAGAUGGGCUGUCUGAGUACUGUGAAAAUUGUCAAAACUUUCAACAAUGGAUCUCUUGGUUCCGGCAUCGAUGAAGAACGCAGCGAAAUGCGAUAAGUAAUGUGAAUUGCAGAAUUCCGUGAAUCAUCGAAUCUUUGAACGCACAUUGCGCCCCCUGGCAUUCCGGGGGGCAUGCCUGUCCGAGCGUCAUUUCUGCCCUCAAGCACGGCUUGUGUGUUGGGUGUGGUCCCCCCGGGGACCUGCCCGAAAGGCAGCGGCGACGUCCGUCUGGUCCUCGAGCGUAUGGGGCUCUGUCACUCGCUCGGGAAGGACCUGCGGGGGUUGGUCACCACCAUGUUUUACCACGGUUGACCUCGGAUCAGGUAGGAGUUACCCGCUGAACUUAAGCAUAUCAAUAAGCGGAGGAAUCAUUACCGAGUGCGGGCCCUCGCGGCCCAACCUCACCUUGUCUCUAUACCCUGUGCUUUGGCGGGCCCACAGGGACACUGGGUCCAGGGGACACACUUCUCGGUCGCCGCGAGGCGCUCUGUGUAACUGAAUCGAAGAUGGGCUGAUCUGAGUACAUGUGAAAAUUGUCAAAACUUUCAACAAUGGAUCUCUUGGUUUCGGCAUCGAUGAAGAACGCAGCGAAAAUGACGUAUAAGUAAUGUGAAAUUGCAGAAUGUCGUGAAUCAUCAAAUCUUUGAAGGCCCAUUGCGCCCGUGGCAUUCGCGGGGGGCAAUAGCUGGUCACUAGCUUAUCUGCUGCCUCAACGUCGGCUUGUUGUGGUGGGUGGGGGGAUCCCCGGGGAUCAUCCACAUAACGUUCUUGCUCAGGAAUGGGGCAUCGUGAAAGACUGCGGUGUGUUACGACGGAAGUAACCUAAUAGCCGAUCAUAGGAAAA
This 1547-nucleotide ribosomal RNA is filed under the name fungal sp. Ali-F1. RNAcentral describes it as "eukaryotic LSU rRNA". The stretch from base 700 to 853 matches the Rfam family "5.8S ribosomal RNA". Lineage: Eukaryota; Fungi. The record is from RNAcentral.